GCGGCGUGCUUACACAUGCAAGUCGAGCGAGAAAGCUCCUUCGGGAGUUAGUACAGCGGCGGACGGGUGAGUAAUACGUAAGAAUCUGCCCUUCAGUGAAGAAUACCCUUGAGAAAUCAAGUUUAAUGCUGCAUACGUCCCUUCGGGGAGAAAGAUGGCCUCUUUGCUGUCGCUGAAGGAUGAGCUUACGCGCUAUUAGUUUGUUGGUGAGGUAAAGGCUCACCAAGACAAUGAUGGCUAGCCGGCCUGAGAGGGUGUACGGCCACACUGGAACUUAGACACGGUCCAGACUCCUACGAGAGGCAGCAGUGAGGAAUAUUGCGCAAUGGGCGAAAGCCUGACGCAGCGACGCCGCGUGGGGGAUGAAGGUCUUAGGAUCGUAAACUCCUGUUAAGUGGGAAGAAAAACCUAACUCUAAUACAGUUAGGUAAUGACGGUACCAUUAAAGAAAGCACCGGCUAACUUCGUGCCAGCAGCCGCGGUAUACGAGGGGUGCGAGCGUUAUUCGGAAUUAUGGGCGUACAGGGUGUGUAGACGGCUUAUUAAGUUAUUGUUAAAUUCUUCGGCCUAGCCG
RNAcentral lists this ribosomal RNA (574 nucleotides) under uncultured bacterium. RNAcentral describes it as "bacterial SSU rRNA". It matches the Rfam family "Bacterial small subunit ribosomal RNA", at positions 39 to 615 of the family's 1533-position model. The record is from RNAcentral.